GUAAAAAAAUAAAUUAAUAGAUCCGAUUUAUGUAAAUCUGGAGAGAUUCAAGUCCCUGCUACUGCUGAAGUGAACGCCGGAUUGUCCUCUCCCCGUGCGCUGCAGGCUGUGCUGCUUGGCGUGGUGGAGAUAGUGGGCGUAAAAGUGGGUCCAACUCCUGCUAAUAGAUACAAAAACACAGAUUUGUGACAACGAAUCAAAGGCCAAACUGACCAAUCAGUCAAACAAAAAACCACGGAACAUGGGCAAACACAGAACUGCGCAGCAAGAUGCCAUAUUCAUCGCAUUUAUGGAGAGACACCCAAUGAUAGCCAAAAACUACCUCAAGGGUGAUAAGCUGGCAG
Molecule: long non-coding RNA, 344 nt
Organism: Drosophila miranda
Lineage: Eukaryota; Metazoa; Arthropoda; Insecta; Diptera; Drosophilidae
Exons: 2
Source: RefSeq, a predicted model, not a curated record